CUGGGAUUAGCGCAGCGGUAGCGCGCACGCCUGGGGGGCGUGAGGUCGCCAGUUCGAUCCUGGUAUCCCAGACCA
RNAcentral lists this transfer RNA (75 nucleotides) under Candidatus Saccharimonadota bacterium. RNAcentral's name for it is "tRNA-Pro". It matches the Rfam family "tRNA". Rfam says of the family: Transfer RNA (tRNA) molecules are approximately 80 nucleotides in length. Their secondary structure includes four short double-helical elements and three loops (D, anti-codon, and T loops). RNAcentral also lists the same sequence under 1 other name. The record is from RNAcentral. Lineage: Bacteria; Candidatus Saccharimonadota.